AGCAAAGUAAAGACAGAUAGAGCUUUUUGCUUUCACAUAUAUACAUGUUCCUGGGUUCUGGAUGGUUAGUUUAUUACAGUUAUUCACAACUGAAAAAACAAUUUGGAUAUGCCUUCCUCCUACUUUCCCCCAUAGUAGGAUUCCGAGGGCUAAUAUCUCCAUCACAAUAUACAGAGCCCAGUUGGUAAAUUUGGUAAUUUUUUAAAUUGAAACCAACAAGGUUGGGUCCUCUCAUUUAUCAAAAUAACAAUAAUACACAAGAAAUAACAAAUAAUAAUUUUCAAAAAAGCCCAAAAACAAUCAACACUCCGGACAUAGUGGGCAGUAAUCUGAUGCCCGUGUGCCACGUUGUGAAUGAAAAUAUUCAAUAGAAGUCUUUUGAGUUGGUCAUCCUGAAUUCAGUCACAAAUUUUUUAUUUAAAAAAGAAAUUUUCAUUUAAAAAACAAUAAAUAAAUAUAUAGAGAGAGGUCCAAUCCAUAUUCAAAUAUACAAAAUUUAAAAAAAUAAAAAAAAUAAGUCCCUUUACUUUCGCGUAUUUUCUUUAUCCAAUUUUCUUUUUCUCUGAUAGAAGAUUUCCAAUCUAUAAGGCUAUAUCCAUCUGAUCAAAUCAUUCUUGAAAUUUGACAUCUAACAGAAGUCUAGAAUGCUAAGAUCUCUAAGACAAUACAGUUCUGAACUCCCACAAAACCACAGAACUCUUGCAUUUCAGCAUUCCAUAAAACUUUAAAACUUUGAAGUCUUUACUUCUCAGCAAGUUUCACCAAUGUCCAUCUAAAUUAUAAGACUUUAAAGUCUAUCCAAAUUAUAAGACUAUAAAACUUUGACGUCUUUCACUUCUCGCAAGUUUCACCAACGUCUAUCCAAAUUAUAAGACCACAAACGUCUAUCCAAAUUAUAAGACCACAAAACUUUGACAUCUUUCACUUGUCACAAGUUUCACCAACGUCUAUCCAAAUUAUGAGACUUUUCCAUCUCAUAAAACUCUACAACUUUAUCAGAUGUGAAAAACUUCAUAAAUUUAAUGAGACAAUAGGCUUUGCAAAGUUUUAUGAGCAGUGGAAUUUGUAAGAAAUUCCCCAAAAAUAUUACAAUAUUAUAGUAGCCACAAUGCCAGCGUUCCAUCUGCUCCCCUCCAGCAUAAAGAGAAGAAAUUCUCAACUUUCUCCACAUCAAUCUCCUAAUGGUUAGAUAUCAAACUCUAUUUUUAAAGACCAUCACUCACUUCUACAUGAUUUUAAAAGACAAAAUGGAAUGAUUCUCGUGGCAUAAAAACACCCUCUUUAACUCCUUUCUUUCUUUCUUUUUUCUUUUCUUUUUUUCUUUUUUUUUUUUUUUUUUUGUGCCUCCAAGUUAAUGGGCAUUCUUUAAAAACUGCCAAGGAUUCUAUUUCAGCCAAGGCAACCCUUUGAUGUAGCUUUGACCCAUAUCACCAGAAUUCUGAGAACAGAUCGCUUGGUGAAUAUUACAUGGUUCAGGAGCAUCACAAUCCCUACCUCAACUGCAGGGUAUGGAUAAAUAUUCAUGUAGAAUUCCAAUGGAAGAAUGCUGAAAGUUUAAGAACCACAUUCAAUAAUAUGAUAUCUUUUGCAUGAAACUCCGAGAAGUAUAUGAUCUUAUAAUCUGAAAAUUCCUUAUUUUAGAGUAUUGGCUUGAUCUGAUGAAAUGAGAUACUAUCUACCACAUUACCAUGGGGCCCAAUUAUAGAAUGCAGUCUGAAAAGUCUUUAGAUCUGAUAGUUUGCUAAUUAUUAUGAUAAAAAGGGUUUCAGAAAUCCUGGUAUCGUGGCCCAAGCAAUCAUAGUAUCCCGAUUCCAAAAAAAGCCAAAAGACACAUUUGUAUGUUAUUAAUUGUUCUGGACAAUUGUCGUGUGAAAAAAUAAUUUGUAACUGAACCAUUGCUAACUCUUUCCAGGAGAAAAGGAGUUCAAUGAGUCAUUUCAAUACUAUUCACCAAAAUAAUGGGAAAAGGACAAGAAAGGAAAAGAAAAGAAAUUUCAGCUUCUCAGUUUUCUGGGAAGCAAUUGAAUCUGCCUCCAUGUAUAUGUUGCCAAGUAUGCAAAGGUUUUCCCUCUUUUUCAUUAAAUUUCAAAAAGUUUCUUAAAAUGGUAUUUUAAUUUCUAUCAUUUUUCUACACUGAAAUGUGUUCAAAAACAGCAAGGAAACCAAUCAACAAGCACUAAAAACAAAUGUACCUGGUGGUGCCUGCCAUGGGAUCUGAACCUUCUUGCACUUCUCAAAUAAAGUUUCCAUUAGCUCCAACUUUGGCUGUGGCGAGGCUUCCACUUUAUUAGAAGCUCUGGGAGGAAGUGUCACAGGUUUCUUGUUUUCCUCAAUUUUAGGCCGACCAUGAGCUUUGGACACUGAAAGUAAAGUACUUGUUUGUGAAGAGGAAGAUUUGCUACUAGGGCCUUCACUAUUUGCUUCAUGCUUGUCCUUAGAAGAUGAACCUAUUUUUCCAUAUUUGCUCUGCAUGAAUUGCGCACGCAUUUUUGCUUUCUGUAUAUCAUCAGCUGACAUGGGGCGGCCAUGACUCACAGGGACUGCUCUUCCAGGCUGCAGGAUCCUGCCUGCUGUUUUUUGGCCUGGCUGUUCUACUAGCUGAACCUUUCUGCGUUCUCUGGUUUCUGUAGCUAGCUAAGGCAAUGAAUUCCAAAUUCUUCCAUACACAUAACAGAGAAUGAAGAGUUGCAUAUGCAUCAUUCAGAAAUCUAUUAAACUAUCUAGACAUAAGAGCAGAGUGAAACUGCAGAAUUUCUAAGAGAUAUACAAGUCCAGUUGGAACUGGGAAUCUUAGAGAACUAGGAAUUUAAAAUUUUCACAUGUAUUCUUAAGCAUCAAAUUUAAAAUAAAUUAAAAAAAUGCUAUGUUUCAUAAGGGACCUUUCAAUUCCACUGGAAAUAACAUUUCCAAAUUUCACCCUUCAGACCUGGUAAAGAAUUGGGAUAGGGAUGUAGGAGAUCCCAGGUUUGAAUCCUGGCAAGGAAGAAAAAAAAAUUGUUGCCAAUCAAAAACUUGGAAAAAGGGAAAAAAAAGGUAAAAAAAAUAUUACCAAAUUUGCUGAAUUAUCCUAGUAGUCAGCUGUAGGACUUAGAACUUUCAUUGAAAAUUGCCUAAUUACCCCUAGUAAUCAGAAUUAUGACCUAGAUGUCACAACUUGCUCCAAAUGACCCUCCCUUAAGCUUAUAUAGGGAGUAGGAAGCUUUUGGAAGCUUCUAGAACCCCCUGAAGCAAUCUACGUUUAACUACUAGUGAAAAAGUGCAGAAGCUUCUAGAGGAGCUUAGAGAUGUCCACACAUCUCUACAUAAGAAUGGAAGGCAGAGGAAGAGUGUGGGGCAUUCUAGAGAAUUCCAGAGUACUCUUUUACAUAUGAUGUAUAUAGCCUUUGUAUAUAGAAUUCUAGGAUAGAGUGAAACCUUUGUGGAUUCCAAAUAGUUCUACAGGUGCCUAUAUAUAGGAGGUGGCCUCAUUUGGCCAAGGCACCAAACAAGUUGAGAGCUUCUAGCCUUGUAAAGCAUUUUUUUUGCAAUACAAAACUUUCUUUCUUAAGUGUUGCCUAUGUUGUGCAUUCCAACUUCUAAGUCAUGUGCAUUACUUAGCCUACGUUGAUUCUCUCACGAAAGUUUUUAAUAAUAUCUUGAUUUUUUAAAAAGAAUAAAAAAACUUGCUCAAGUUCAAAGCAUUCUCAAUCAUUUCCCAUGUCAACCACGAUGGAGAUCACAACAUUGUGAUCAAAAGUGAACUUAAAAUAGUUAGAACAUUUUUACUUCUUUUAUAUAUCUUUUUUUAUAUGCAUUAGGACAUUUUUAUUAAAAUUCAACAGCCUUUAACACAUCAUGAUUUUGAAUUAGUUCAAAAAUCACACAAUAGGUUUAAGACAACCACUAGAGAGAAGUCCAAAUCAAGCUCCAUAUGAAUUCAUUGGCAAUGAUGCACAGUUAGGUUGUAUAACAAAACGAAAUUUUGAAAGAUGUGGUGGGAAUCUGAAUGAUAAAGCUUUGAACAAAAGCAGGGGAACCUUGUAAGUUGCUUAUCCUCAUAUUCAUCUUCUUUCUAGAAUCAAAAUGCUACUACAAAUAACAUUUGCCUUAACUGCUCUCUUAGAAUUAUAUGUAAUCAUUAACUUCUUUAACAGAUUCAAAGUUGGGGACCUCUUGAAUAUAAUCGAUUGUCCAGGAGCUUACUUUCUCAUUUACUUAUACAAAUUUCUACUGAUUUGGUCAAUUGCUAAUGUGAUGAGGACUUCAAAAGCAGUCCCCCAAAAUUGAAGAGCUAACAUGAACAAAACCUCAUAAAAAGCAUGAGGUCAUGACAUGUGACAAGCCGACAAAAGCAAAACUUGACUUCCCUUCAAGAACAGCCAUAGUGGAAUUCCAUUCAUUCAAGUCAUGGACAUAGAUGUAAACAAACUGGUCUAUCAAAAUAAAGAAUAAGAAGAUGUCAACAAACUGACAUGUCUUUGUUUCGCCAACUAAUUCCUUUACUUAAAAAUUAUCUUAAUAUUAGAAAUUAUACUUGACAAGAAACUGUUAAUUAUUUCUCAUGAUAUUUGCCUCCUUCAGUCCAUAUCAGGAUAAUUAGAGUAUCAUAUAUUCUCAUCUUCUUUUGAUUCAAUCCUUUGUGGUUAGAAUGAUAAAACAAGGAGAAGAGAACUUUCUGGGCUUGAGUUAGUUCCAAACAUGGUUAUUUGGGAUGCUCAAGCUUGUUCUUUUCUCAUCCUCCACAAUGCCAACAUACACAUACACUCCGACCAUUAGAUUUCGAGGCACCAACUUCCCUCAGGAUGGAAGGUGUUUAUUGGUCAACAUUCCAGGAUAAAACACAGCAUUUUUGAAUUAGAAAAAUAAUAUCAUGACCACUUGUAAACACCACAUCCAGCAAUAGCAUUGUCCAUCACUUUUGUUUGUAAUGGAUUUGCCAAAGGAGUGUCUCUUCAUUUAUUUGCUCAAAACUGGUUAGCAUAUUCUUAAAGUAACAUAUUCUGGGUAGUGGAGCAGCAAUGUUCAGAAUAAAACUAAAUAGCGCAUUUUUUCCCUUAGAUAUAGAUAACAACCGCAUAUAAGUAACGCAAUGCCUCUUUAAAGCUUUGUUCCAUCCACACCUUUCCUAUACAAGGAAACAUACUAGCAACUAUUUUUCCACAUUCACCCUUGAGAUUUCUUAGAUGUGGGCAAGGAAUGAAUUAGAAAAAUACCAACAAAAAGGAGCAAGAAAACAGCCACUGCAAUACUCAACAUUCAAAAUAAUCAGUUUGUACAAAGUAACCAGGGAGAAUCUGACGACAGUAACAGUACAUGAAAGGUAACAAUCAAAAACAUUAUAGACUACUAAUAGAGUUAAUGCUGAAUCUUUCCAAUGAAAUUAAGGAUAAAUAACUGUUUCAAAGGAUUAGGGUCCAAAUGAUUCAACUUGAGACUUCUGACGGCAACAUCCUCUAUAUGACAUUUCAUAACGCUGAUAGCAAGGUCAUUACAUAAUCAUCAUAAUCAAUUACCUUGCAUUUGAAGAAACUUUUUAGUUGGCAAGAACAAACAUUACUUUUCAACCUCCUACAAGGAAUUGGAAUCUUAUCACUCCAAUAUCAGUUUUCCCCAUCACACUCUUUUCUACCAAAAAAAAAAGAAAGAUGCUUUAUUCAUAAGGAACAAAAAAUCUCCUUGUGAAUUUCAGAACCAAGAAGUCCUGAGACAGUUUGUAGCCACUAGACGGCUAGUCUAGACUACAGAAGAGCAGCAUGUUUUAGUUACAGUUUUAUCUAAGGUCCCUACCCAUAAGUCUAAAUCUUCAAACAGGUAGAGGAAAACUAGCACAUAACUUCCCUAAUUUUUUGUCUUUUUAUUUUUUUCUACUGGUCAUGGAUCUGUUAAUGGCAGAAACUAACUUGUAUCUUGUCACAGUGGUUUCCUCUAGAUUUUCAUGCUCUCGACCUCUUAUUAGCCAUAAAUUGCAUCUUAUUGGGAUGAUAUUUUUGUUCAGUUCAUCUAAUAAGGUUUCAAUGAGUGGUAACAACUCAAGUAAAAUUUGCCACCUCUUUUUAUUAUAAGGCUUGUAAGCUAUAAUUUCCUUGUUUUCAAAAAUGUAUGCAUUUAUAUAUGUAUAUAUUUUGAAGGAUACGGGAUGAAGAUACACCUCGAAUGCUUUUCCUAUUUGUAUCUUCUGC
This 6158-nucleotide long non-coding RNA is filed under the name Vitis vinifera (wine grape). Its description in RNAcentral is "long non-coding RNA (VVIN_LNC002039)". Lineage: Eukaryota; Viridiplantae; Streptophyta; Magnoliopsida; Vitales; Vitaceae. The record is from RNAcentral.